UGGCGGAAUUGGUAGACGCACCAGAUUUAGGUUCUGGCGCCGCAAGGUGUGAGAGUUCAAGUCUCUCCUUCCGCACCA
Molecule: transfer RNA, 78 nt
Filed under: Vibrio parahaemolyticus
Lineage: Bacteria; Pseudomonadati; Pseudomonadota; Gammaproteobacteria; Vibrionales; Vibrionaceae
Description: tRNA-Leu
Rfam family: tRNA
About the family: Transfer RNA (tRNA) molecules are approximately 80 nucleotides in length. Their secondary structure includes four short double-helical elements and three loops (D, anti-codon, and T loops). Further hydrogen bonds mediate the characteristic L-shaped molecular structure. tRNAs have two regions of fundamental functional importance: the anti-codon, which is responsible for specific mRNA codon recognition, and the 3' end, to which the tRNAs corresponding amino acid is attached (by aminoacyl-tRNA synthetases). tRNAs cope with the degeneracy of the genetic code in two manners: having more than one tRNA (with a specific anti-codon) for a particular amino acid; and 'wobble' base-pairing, i.e. permitting non-standard base-pairing at the 3rd anti-codon position.
Source: RNAcentral